GAUGAAGAACGUAGCGAAAUGCGAUAAGUAAUGUGAAUUGCAGAAUUCCGUGAAUCAUCGAAUCUUUGAACGCACAUUGCGCCCCCUGGCAUUCCGGGGGGCAUGCCUGUCCGAGCGUCAUUUCUGCCCUCAAGCACGGCUUGUGUGUUGGGUGUGGUCCCCCCGGGGACCUGCCCGAAAGGCAGCGGCGACGUCCGUCUGGUCCUCGAGCGUAUGGGGCUUUGUCACUCGCUCGGGAAGGACCUGCGGGGGUUGGUCACCACCAUAUUUUACCACGGUUGACCUCGGAUCAGGUAGGAGUUACCCGCUGAACUUAAGCAUAUCAAUAAGCGGAGGA
Molecule: unclassified non-coding RNA, 337 nt
Filed under: soil metagenome
Description: partial contains 5.8S ribosomal RNA, internal transcribed spacer 2, and large subunit ribosomal RNA
Rfam family: 5.8S ribosomal RNA (bases 1-120)
Source: RNAcentral